UUAAGGGGUUACAUGGGUUUCACGGUUUCAAAAAAUCGAUUUUUUUUUUUUUGUCUAAUUAAAUUCUAUAACAUCUCUAGAAUAUUGUCCUAAAUUUUCAAAUUGAUCCGAGUAAUAGUUUCGGAGAUACAGCCCUGAAAAGACGGACGCUCCAGGUCAGGUAAUUCAAAGUGUCUAGAGCCGUUUAAAGUGUCUAGAGCCGUUUAAAGUGUCUAGAGCCCAGAUAAGCCAGAGUUCGUCAUCGACAGGAGCAAAAGGAUGCCCUGGACAUUGCAGCUGCAGCAGGUUCUCUACUUUAUGGCCCAGGAAUCGACGAUUCAAUAUAAUCCUGAAAGAAGUUCUGCUGACAACGCGGAGGCACCUUUUUUCCGAGGGACUGCCGGAAAUGGCGUCGUAAUGGCCGCCAUCUUGAUAUUUUUUUUUGAAAAUUUCACAAAAUGUUUAUUAAAUAUGUAUCUUUUAAAUCAUAAAAAGUUUCAUCUAAAUAUUUCAUUUUUUACAUGCAAAAAAAAUUAUUGAAAAAAGGCCGUUUUUUGCCCGACGAAA
This is a long non-coding RNA of Diachasmimorpha longicaudata, 546 nucleotides long. RefSeq lists it as uncharacterized. NCBI's taxonomy places the organism in Eukaryota, Metazoa, Arthropoda, Insecta, Hymenoptera, Braconidae. The transcript is spliced from 2 exons. The record is from RefSeq and is a predicted model, not a curated record.